Molecule: non-coding RNA, 24 nt
Filed under: Arabidopsis thaliana (thale cress)
Lineage: Eukaryota; Viridiplantae; Streptophyta; Magnoliopsida; Brassicales; Brassicaceae
Source: RNAcentral
GGCCGAAACUCUUUCGGUGGUGUC